Molecule: transfer RNA, 72 nt
Filed under: Ilisha elongata (elongate ilisha)
Lineage: Eukaryota; Metazoa; Chordata; Actinopteri; Clupeiformes; Pristigasteridae
Description: tRNA-Val
Source: RNAcentral
CAGGAUGUGGCCGAGAUAGUCAAGCAACUCCCUUACACCGAGUUAACAUCCAUGCAAAUUGGAUCAUCCUGA